Sceloporus undulatus (fence lizard) is the source of this 240-nucleotide long non-coding RNA. RefSeq lists it as uncharacterized. The transcript has 3 exons. NCBI's taxonomy places the organism in Eukaryota, Metazoa, Chordata, Lepidosauria, Squamata, Phrynosomatidae. The record is from RefSeq and is a predicted model, not a curated record.
GGAAACUGUUGAGGGCCACAGGGAUGUGACUGAAUGGAACAGCUGCAAGCUUUUGGGAGUGAAGAGAUUUCGACGUUCCACAUAAAAAGUGUGCUGUUCAGAUGGCGUCAACAUGGAGCAACAAUACAGACAUGUCGGUACUAGACUUUGGCUGAUGGGAAGAUGGUGAAACUAGUUAAAGAUUUGAAUUAGCAGCCUUCAUUUAACUUGACAAUGAAAUAUGAAAGAUGACUUGGGGAA